AGAAGACGUGUCCAGAAAGUUCUAGCAGGAGAAGGGGCAGACGGGCAGAGGCCUAGCGCAGGUCACCUCUCACUGAGAAGGCAGCGAUCCGCCUCCAGAUGAAUGAGGACCAGAGCUGACCAUCACCAGCGUGACGUCGCCGGUGACCCCCAAGAGCACAGUUUUGGUGACAAGCCCUCACUAUGGAAAAUAUGAAGAGGAUAUCAAUACAUCAUUAGCACAAUUGGCAAUCUCAUCAGUCCUUUGGACUGCACUGAAAAUAAUACUGGAAAUAUUAUUAAAUGCACAACGAAGGUAACCCACGUGGCCUUGAAGCAAACUACUGUCAACCACAAGUUGGCAUUUACCAUGGGUGCCCACCAUCUACUUCUACAAGGAUGAAAUCUCUGCUGUAGCUGCUGACCUCCAACACCCCAGGACGGCGUUCAGGGUGGAGCGCAGAGAUGAGGCCCUCUAUGCUCCUAGAAAACUGGCAGAACAGGUCUUCAGGCAGCUAGAUAUUCUCAGGAGCUGAUUCUAGGAGCCCAGUUACUGUAUCUCCUUAUGUCUAGAAAGGCACCAAAACCUUUCAUGGUGACGACUGUUUCUCCUGACUUGCAGAAGCUUCAUGAGACAAGCGGAAACAUUCUACAAAGAAGUAUGCAUUUGACUGCAUAUACUCCCCCUUCACCAAAAUCACAUACACACCAUCUUUCCCCCACCUCACUGGAGAAGUUUCUCGGAGCUACUGAGUUGCUGUCUCUCAGGCUGAGUCCUCAUAUUGCCCCAAAUAAAA
Odocoileus virginianus texanus is the source of this 775-nucleotide long non-coding RNA. RefSeq lists it as uncharacterized. NCBI's taxonomy places the organism in Eukaryota, Metazoa, Chordata, Mammalia, Artiodactyla, Cervidae. The record is from RefSeq and is a predicted model, not a curated record.